Molecule: transfer RNA, 17 nt
Filed under: Cyrtodactylus bapme
Lineage: Eukaryota; Metazoa; Chordata; Lepidosauria; Squamata; Gekkonidae
Description: tRNA-Trp
Source: RNAcentral
AAGUUUAGGUUAGACAA